RNAcentral lists this ribosomal RNA (496 nucleotides) under uncultured bacterium. RNAcentral's name for it is "partial 16S ribosomal RNA". It matches the Rfam family "Bacterial small subunit ribosomal RNA", at positions 28 to 507 of the family's 1533-position model. The record is from RNAcentral.
GACGAACGCUGGCGGCGUGCCUAAUACAUGCAAGUAGAACGCUGAAGAGAGGAGCUUACUCUUCUUGGAUGAGUUGCGAACGGGUGAGUAACGCGUAGGUAACCUGCCUUGUAGCGGGGGAUAACUAUUGGAAACGAUAGCUAAUACCGCAUAACAAUGGAUGACACAUGUCAUUUAUUUGAAAGGGGCAAUUGCUCCACUACAAGAUGGACCUGCGUUGUAUUAGCUAGUAGGUGAGGUAAUGGCUCACCUAGGCGACGAUACAUAGCCGACCUGAGAGGUGAAUGGCCCCCCUGGGAACGAGACCCGGCCCAGACUCCCUCGGGGGGGCACCAGAGGGAAUUCUUGGGAAAUGGGGCAACCCUGACCGAGCAACGCCGCGUGAGUGAAGAAGGUUUUCGGAUCGUAAAGCUCUGUUGUAAGUCAAGAACGGGUGUGAGAGUGGAAAGUUCACACUGUGACGGUAGCUUACCAGAAAGGGACGGCUAACUACGUG